RNAcentral lists this ribosomal RNA (253 nucleotides) under uncultured bacterium. RNAcentral describes it as "partial 16S ribosomal RNA". It matches the Rfam family "Bacterial small subunit ribosomal RNA", at positions 524 to 776 of the family's 1533-position model. The record is from RNAcentral.
UACGUAGGGCGCGAGCGUUGUCCGGAUUUAUUGGGCGUAAAGAGCUCGUAGGCGGCUUGUUGCGUCAGCUGUGAAAACCCGCAGCUCAACUGUGGGCUUGCAGCUGAUACGGGCAGGCUUGAGUUCGGUAGGGGAGACUGGAAUUCCUGGUGUAGCGGUGAAAUGCGCAGAUAUCGGGAAGAACACCCGUGGCGAAGGCGGCUCUCUGGGACGGUACUGACGCUGAGACGCGAAAGCGUGGGGAGCGAACAGG